Molecule: ribosomal RNA, 558 nt
Filed under: uncultured bacterium
Lineage: Bacteria
Description: partial 16S ribosomal RNA
Rfam family: Bacterial small subunit ribosomal RNA
Source: RNAcentral
UGGGGAAUUUUGGACAAUGGGCGCAAGCCUGAUCCAGCCAUGCCGCGUGCGGGAAGAAGGCCUUCGGGUUGUAAACCGCUUUUGUCAGGGAAGAAAUCUUCUGAGUUAAUACCUCGGGAGGAUGACGGUACCUGAAGAAUAAGCACCGGCUAACUACGUGCCAGCAGCCGCGGUAAUACGUAGGGUGCAAGCGUUAAUCGGAAUUACUGGGCGUAAAGCGUGCGCAGGCGGUUUUGUAAGACAGAGGUGAAAUCCCCGGGCUCAACCUGGGAACUGCCUUUGUGACUGCAAGGCUUGAGUGCGGCAGAGGGGGAUGGAAUUCCGCGUGUAGCAGUGAAAUGCGUAGAUAUGCGGAGGAACACCGAUGGCGAAGGCAAUCCCCUGGGCCUGCACUGACGCUCAUGCACGAAAGCGUGGGGAGCAAAACCAGGAUUAGAUAGCCCCUGGGUAGUCCACGCCCUAAAACGAUGUCAACUGGUUGUUGGGAAGGUUCCUUCUCAGUAACGUAGCUAACGCGUGAAGUUGACCGCCUGGGGAGUACGGCCGCAAGGUUGAAAC